Molecule: long non-coding RNA, 959 nt
Organism: Pomacea canaliculata
Lineage: Eukaryota; Metazoa; Mollusca; Gastropoda; Architaenioglossa; Ampullariidae
Exons: 3
Source: RefSeq, a predicted model, not a curated record
CGCCGAAGACUUCUGCACGAGCAGACACCCGCCAGGCCAGACACACACGAAGUCCAUCAUGUCAAGCCACUUACAGGUGUUUUCUUUAUCAGCGCCUGUCUUAGUUUCAACUCUUUUACUUGCUGCACACGUGUCAGUCUUGGCUGUUGUAACCAACAGCCUAUAUGUCAGUUUGGUUUAUUUGCCAGAAAGCAUGCCUGUGCCCUCUGUAACACUUGCCAGCACGCGCAUCUGUCUCGGUUGGUUUAUUUGCCGGCAAACACAUCAGAUAAAGUUGUUCUUACAGCUCACACCUUGCUGCUCCUGGACACUACAGUAAUCACCGACCGGAAGAGAAGGUCCAAGGCAAAGUUCAUAGUCUUCUGUUUGUUAAGUAGUCUCAGACACGCGCGGUACAUUACAAAGGUGUGAGGAGGCAAGCAGGGCUCCCAUCAUCAAGGUGUGCAUUCACUACUGGCGGGAGGGACUCACCCUGCCGUCGACAACGGUAACGGGCUGUGACGAUUAUCGCCGCCAGAAGCCCAUGGGUGAGUCGGCAAACAUCGUUCACUGGGCAUACAAACUCUCCUCCCCGCCAACUACACAGACAGCGCCCUCGACCGGGGAUGCCACGUUGAAGCAGGUCCUACAUUUCACAGCUGCUUGCUCAGUUUGCUUCGGGAGGGGGAGUCGAAACAGACCGAAACUCAGUAAUGGAUGUCUACUUAAAGGACCGGAUGAGACCUAAAUUUUACCUGGCCUCUCUGUAAGGGGCCAUGGUAUUGUUGAGAGUCCAGACUAACUCGCCAUCCUGACGAAGGUGACUUAUCGUCAGUACUGCGUGACACAGGGGGCAUCUGGUCACUGCUGACAAAAAAUGUUUCACAGGCUCUCGACAUCCUCAGCUGCGGUGAGAGGUCUUACAGAAAAAUACUUCAAUUGAAAGCUCUUUGUUGACAAUCAAACUAAUUCCUAGGUAC